This 445-nucleotide ribosomal RNA is filed under the name uncultured bacterium. Its description in RNAcentral is "partial 16S ribosomal RNA". It matches the Rfam family "Bacterial small subunit ribosomal RNA", at positions 331 to 792 of the family's 1533-position model. The record is from RNAcentral.
CCAGACUCCUACGGGAGGCAGCAGUGGGGGAUAUUGCACAAUGGGGGGAACCCUGAUGCAGCGACGCCGCGUGGGUGAAGGAGCGUUUCGGCGCGUAAAGCCCUAUCGGCAGGGAAGAAGGAGGACGGUACCUGACUAAGAAGCUCCGGCUAAAUACGUGCCAGCAGCCGCGGUAAUACGUAUGGAGCAAGCGUUAUCCGGAUUUACUGGGUGUAAAGGGAGCGCAGGCGGCCUUGCAAGUCUGAUGUGAAAGGCCGGGGCCCAACCCCGGGACUGCAUUGGAAACUGCGUGGCUAGAGUGCAGGAGGGGCAGGCGGAAUUCCUGGUGUAGCGGUGAAAUGCGUAGAUAUCAGGAGGAACACCGGUGGCGAAGGCGGCCUGCUGGACUGCAACUGACGUUGAGGCCCGAAAGCGUGGGGAGCAAACAGGAUUAGAUACCCCCGUA